Molecule: transfer RNA, 90 nt
Filed under: Lysobacterales bacterium
Lineage: Bacteria; Pseudomonadati; Pseudomonadota; Gammaproteobacteria; Lysobacterales
Also listed under: 1 other name
Description: tRNA-Ser
Rfam family: tRNA
About the family: Transfer RNA (tRNA) molecules are approximately 80 nucleotides in length. Their secondary structure includes four short double-helical elements and three loops (D, anti-codon, and T loops).
Source: RNAcentral
GGAGGGAUGGCAGAGCGGUUGAAUGCACCGGUCUUGAAAACCGGCGGCCACGCGAGUGGCCCGUGGGUUCGAAUCCCACUCCCUCCGCCA